Vicia villosa (hairy vetch) is the source of this 1058-nucleotide long non-coding RNA. RefSeq lists it as uncharacterized. The record is from RefSeq and is a predicted model, not a curated record. Lineage: Eukaryota; Viridiplantae; Streptophyta; Magnoliopsida; Fabales; Fabaceae. The transcript is spliced from 5 exons.
AUUGUUUGAUUUUCAGAUCUGGCUGAGCUAGGGUUUUAAGAGUUUACCUUCUCUACAUAUUUGUCACGUGUUAUCGUAUCAGUCUCACAAGUUGCGUCAUUAGAGGGUAUACAUGUAAAAGAAAAAGGCAUUUCAACAGUUUCCAAAAACUUGUGCACGUUUACCUACUAAAAGGAAGUCCAACAGGUAAUGGGACUUUGAGUAUAUAUAGUAGUAACGACACAGUAGUUUUCAACACUUCAAGUACCAAAUCCUGAAACCUAAUCCGUAAGUGGGAAGAAAAAUGGGUAGCUUCUCCCAAGUUGCAAAAGCUUGCAGAUCUAUGAAAUUUGUUGUGGUUCAAGACCCUCUCCAACGAUUGGCGAUUAAACGGAGGAUGAAGCAAAGAUCGAAGAUGCUGCGGAUGAGGUUGAAGAUGAAGAAAGAACGGAUUACCAAGUUGUGCACUGAGUGGGCUUUGCAUGUGGUGGAGGGUGUUGCAUGCGCCUGGGAAAGGGGAAGUAAGAUUCAGAACAUAGCAGGGGUGUGGCAGAAUGAGAUGCUUGGAAUCAGGUGGUCGGGAAAGCAUCAGGAAUUGAGGGCUGGUUUGAGGUUUGCUGUACUUGAAGACGUCGAAUUUGUAACUCAUGUUCUGGGAAGUGUUGGACUGGAGAUAAACCCCAGAAUGAUAGAAAUAUCCAAUUCAGUGUAUAUUGGGAAGAUUGUCUUUUAAAAUGAAAGUGAAUGGAUGAUAUGGACAGAGUUGGUGAAGAAGCUGAAAAGAAUGGUUUAAAGAAGAUGUAUUGUUGGGGUAUUGAUGGCUAUGGUGAAUGAAGGAGUGCAAAGUUUUGGAAGAACAGUAGAUUGUUUUGAAUGAUGUUGCUGGGUUUUUUUUUUGUUUUAGUUGUAUGUGGUUUAAUGUUAUGUUUCAGACUUUUUAUGUUUGUUAUUCAUAGUUUCUCUUUGGAUUGAAACAGUUAAUGUUUUCAUGGCUACUUUAUAAUUGCAAUAUAAUACUGGUAUGCUUUGCAACAAUGUGUGAAAAUCAAAUGGAUGAGCAUGGUUUAAAUUUAGUGUUA